ACGGGGGGGGCAAGCGUUGUUCGGAAUUACUGGGCGUAAAGGGCUUGUAGGUGGCCAACUAAGUCCGACGUGAAAUCCCUAGGCUUAACCUAGGAACUGCGUCGGAUACUGGAUGGCUUGAAUCCGGGAGAGGGAUGCGGAAUUCCAGGUGUAGCGGUGAAAUGCGUAGAUAUCUGGAGGAACACCGGUGGCGAAGGCGGCAUCCUGGACCGGUAUUGACACUGAAAAGCGAAAGCCAGGGGAGCAAACGGGA
RNAcentral lists this ribosomal RNA (253 nucleotides) under uncultured prokaryote. Its description in RNAcentral is "partial 16S ribosomal RNA". It matches the Rfam family "Bacterial small subunit ribosomal RNA", at positions 525 to 777 of the family's 1533-position model. The record is from RNAcentral.